AGGAAGUGUAGUUUAUGAGAGAAUGCUGCUUUUGUAAAGCAGUGGUGUAGUUUGAUUAGCUUCUUU
RNAcentral lists this transfer RNA (66 nucleotides) under Paragonimus iloktsuenensis. RNAcentral's name for it is "tRNA-Thr". Lineage: Eukaryota; Metazoa; Platyhelminthes; Trematoda; Plagiorchiida; Troglotrematidae. The record is from RNAcentral.